UUGCGGAUGUUUAUAAAUUAUAAAACUUCUAUCUGCUGUGUCAGAGCCAAUCCAAGCAGCUCACCAUAGAUAUUGCUAUUCACAUUUUGUCUGAUAUAUUACCAACAUCUUAUAUUCAGUAAAUAUCCAAAAAGCAACUGCUUGAUGAUGCAAAGCAAGCGGAACUAGAAGAGGGAAAUAUGACUCCUCAUGAUUGUCGAAAUCUGUUUAACAUCAUUUGAUGAGCUUCUAUGAUUAAUUAUUAAUUUGUGAUUACGUUUUGUAUUGUUUUGUGCUCGAUAUCUU
This 285-nucleotide long non-coding RNA is filed under the name Elaeis guineensis (African oil palm). Its description in RNAcentral is "long non-coding RNA (EGUI_LNC001979)". The record is from RNAcentral. Lineage: Eukaryota; Viridiplantae; Streptophyta; Magnoliopsida; Arecales; Arecaceae.